GUAACUGUGCACUGAGUUUAUCAAUGUAUGUAGAGACACCUGGUGGUAGUAAUGCCUUACUAGGUUAUUAACCCUACAGCUCAGUUGGUGGAAAUCUUGGGAAAAAAAGAUUACCUCAGGACGUGCUAUGGAACUGUGCACUGAGUUUAUCAAUGUAUGUAGAGACACCUGGUGGUAGUAAUGCCUUACUAGGUUAUUAACCCUACAGCUCAGUUGGUAGAAAUUUUGGGAAAAAAAGAUUACCUCAGGACGUGCUAUGGAACUGUGUGCUGAGUUUAUCAAUGUAUGUAGAGACACCUGGUGGUAGAGCUAAAGGAUUCUUUGCAACAAUGUAAUUUGUGAAUAUUAAAGCAUUCCAGGAACAUUGAUUUACAUUUUUUACCAUUAAAUAGUUCAUUGUUUUAAGUUAACCUUCGAUAAUUGUUUUGUUGUCUGAAUCAAAUGUGGAUAUCUUGUUCUGUUGUAGCUUCUGACUGGACUGCUCUCUAAAAGUGGCACUGAGAGACAAGACAGCAAGUUAUCUGGUGACAACUGUAACUGUAGCGUGAAGUAUAGCAAGCUUUUUAAGGAAUUCAAAGAACGGCUGGAAAACGAACACAAGGAAGAGAAAGAUCAAGCAGUAAGGGAGUUGGCAGAGAAACUACGGGCAGAAUUUGAAGAGGAGAAACAAACCUCUAUAAAAGUAGCAUUUGAAAAGCUUCAAAAGGAGGUGGAAAAGGCUCGGCAGAAAGCAGAGGAACAACUCUGUUACAGGCACGAGGAAGAAGUACAUCAGCUUGUUGAACGCCAGGAGCAAGAAAUCUCCGAGAUAAAGAAAAAACAGUGGUGUUACAAUUGUGAAGCGGAAGCAAUCUACCACUGUUGCUGGAAUGUUUCGUACUGUAGUCUAGAAUGUCAACAGGUACACUGGCACAAGGAACACAAACGAACUUGUCGACGAAAGCGGCUGUGAAACGUUGAAUGUUUCGUACUGUAGUCUAGAAUGUCAACAGGUACACUGGCACAAGGAACACAAACGAACUUGUCGACGAAAGCGGCUGUGAAACGUUGAAU
Limulus polyphemus (Atlantic horseshoe crab) is the source of this 1053-nucleotide long non-coding RNA. RefSeq lists it as uncharacterized. The transcript is spliced from 3 exons. Lineage: Eukaryota; Metazoa; Arthropoda; Merostomata; Xiphosura; Limulidae. The record is from RefSeq and is a predicted model, not a curated record.